RNAcentral lists this ribosomal RNA (324 nucleotides) under Triticum aestivum (bread wheat). RNAcentral describes it as "partial small subunit ribosomal RNA". Lineage: Eukaryota; Viridiplantae; Streptophyta; Magnoliopsida; Poales; Poaceae. The record is from RNAcentral.
AUGCUUAUCCAUUUAACCGGAGUGUUGUGUUCUCAUUCAAGUUCUUUCAUCUUAUCAAGUUUUGCCUCUCGUUUCAACCAGAGUGGUUCCAAUUCCUUCUUGUCCAUUGUACUCGUCAUUCAUAGCUUUGCAACCUCCAAGGUUCACAUGGUGUUCCUUGUUUCUAUUUUCUACCGCAGUGCUCUCGAUUGUGUUCAACUCCAUUGUGUUCUUUCUUUCAACUUUUCAACCUCUCAAGGUUCUUUGGUUUCACUCAUUGGUCGAAGAAGCAACUUAGUUUUACCUCUUCUCUUCAUCUUCCAUUUCUCUCCGGUGCCAUCCUAG